AUCCAGCUGACGAGUCCCAAAUAAGACGAGAUGCGCUUCCUGGAU
This is a non-coding RNA of Schistosoma mansoni, 45 nucleotides long. The record is from Rfam. NCBI's taxonomy places the organism in Eukaryota, Metazoa, Platyhelminthes, Trematoda, Strigeidida, Schistosomatidae.